RNAcentral lists this ribosomal RNA (482 nucleotides) under uncultured bacterium. RNAcentral's name for it is "partial 16S ribosomal RNA". It matches the Rfam family "Bacterial small subunit ribosomal RNA", at positions 28 to 523 of the family's 1533-position model. The record is from RNAcentral.
GACGAACGCUGGCGGCGUGCUUAACACAUGCAAGUCGAACGAUGAAGAAGAGCUUGCUCUUCGGAUUAGUGGCGAACGGGUGAGUAACACGUGACUAACCUGCCCCUUUCUCUGGGAUAACGCUCCGAAAGGAGUGCUAAUACCGGAUACUCACAUCGAGGCACAUGCCUUGAUGUGGAAAGUUUUUCGGAAAGGGAUGGAGUCGCGGCCUAUCAGCUUGUUGGUGAGGUAACGGCUCACCAAGGCGACGACGGGUAGCCGGCCUGAGAGGGCGACCGGCCACACUGGGACUGGGACACGGCCCAGACUCCUACGGGAGGCAGCAGUGGGGAAGAUUGCACAAUGGGCGAAAGCCUGAUGCAGCGACGCCGCGUGAGGGAUGAAGGUCUUCGGAUUGUAAACCUCUUUCAGUAGGGACGAAGCGAAAGUGACGGUACCUAAAGAAGAAGCACCGGCUAACUACGUGCCAGCAGCAGCCGCGG